This 680-nucleotide ribosomal RNA is filed under the name bacterium 3AS1. Its description in RNAcentral is "bacterial SSU rRNA". It matches the Rfam family "Bacterial small subunit ribosomal RNA", at positions 38 to 707 of the family's 1533-position model. The record is from RNAcentral.
GGCGGCAGGCCUACACAUGCAAGUCGGACGGUAGCACAGAAAAGCUUGCUCUUUGGGUGACGAGUGGCGGACGGGUGAGUAAUGUCUGGGAAACUGCCCGAUAGAGGGGGAUAACUACUGGAAACGGUAGCUAAUACCGCAUAACCUCGCAAGAGCAAAGUGGGGGACCUUCGGGCCUCACGCUAUCGGAUGUGCCCAGAUGGGAUUAGCUAGUAGGUGGGGUAACGGCUCACCUAGGCGACGAUCCCUAGCUGGUCUGAGAGGAUGACCAGCCACACUGGAACUGAGACACGGUCCAGACUCCUACGGGAGGCAGCAGUGGGGAAUAUUGCACAAUGGGCGCAAGCCUGAUGCAGCCAUGCCGCGUGUAUGAAGAAGGCCUUCGGGUUGUAAAGUACUUUCAGCGGGGAGGAAGGCGGUGAGGUUAAUAACCUUGCCGAUUGACGUUACCCGCAGAAGAAGCACCGGCUAACUCCGUGCCAGCAGCCGCGGUAAUACGGAGGGUGCAAGCGUUAAUCGGAAUUACUGGGCGUAAAGCGCACGCAGGCGGUCUGUCAAGUCAGAUGUGAAAUCCCCGGGCUUAACCUGGGAACUGCAUUUGAAACUGGCAGGCUAGAGUCUUGUNNAGGGGGGUAGAAUUCCAGGUGCANCNGCGAAAUGCGUAAAUAUUUUUGAGGAAU